CCUACGGGUGGCAGCAGUGAGGGAUAUUGGUCAAUGGGGGAAACCCUGAACCAGCAACGCCGCGUGAGGGAAGACGGUUUUCGGAUUGUAAACCUCUGUCCUCUGUGAAGAUAAUGACGGUAGCAGAGGAGGAAGCUCCGGCUAACUACGUGCCAGCAGCCGCGGUAAUACGUAGGGAGCGAGCGUUGUCCGGAUUUACUGGGUGUAAAGGGUGCGUAGGCGGCCCUGCAAGUCAGAAGUGAAAUCCAUGGGCUUAACCCGUGAACUGCUUUUGAAACUGCAGGACUUGAGUGGAGUAGAGGUAGGCGGAAUUCCCGGUGUAGCGGUGAAAUGCUUAGAUAUCAGGAGGAACAUCGGUGGCGUAAGCGCUUUACUGGGCCGUAAUUGACGCUGAGGAACGAAAGCCAGGGUAGCAAAUGGGAUUAGAUACCCGAGUAGUC
RNAcentral lists this ribosomal RNA (440 nucleotides) under uncultured bacterium. Its description in RNAcentral is "partial 16S ribosomal RNA". It matches the Rfam family "Bacterial small subunit ribosomal RNA", at positions 338 to 795 of the family's 1533-position model. The record is from RNAcentral.